AUCGAUAAUCCACGAUAAAUUUCACUUCAAUAAUUAAUUUAUAUACCGCCAUCUCAAGAAUUAAUUAAAAAAUAUUCUCUCAAAAAUUAAUAAAAAGUUAGGUCAAGGUGUAAUUUAUAUUAAAGAANAAAAUGAAUUACAUUAAAUAUAAUUAAAAGAUUAUAAAUAAAAUAUUUAUACAAAUAAGAAUUUAAAAGUAAUAUUAAAAUAAUAAUAUAAUAUGAUAAAUACAAUAAAUGUGCACACAUCGCCC
This 253-nucleotide ribosomal RNA is filed under the name Draconarius sp. ZZ208. RNAcentral describes it as "partial 12S ribosomal RNA". Lineage: Eukaryota; Metazoa; Arthropoda; Arachnida; Araneae; Agelenidae. The record is from RNAcentral.